Molecule: ribosomal RNA, 821 nt
Filed under: Escherichia coli
Lineage: Bacteria; Pseudomonadati; Pseudomonadota; Gammaproteobacteria; Enterobacterales; Enterobacteriaceae
Description: partial 23S ribosomal RNA
Rfam family: Bacterial large subunit ribosomal RNA
Source: RNAcentral
CCAGACAGCCAGGAUGUUGGCUUAGAAGCAGCCAUCAUUUAAAGAAAGCGUAAUAGCUCACUGGUCGAGUCGGCCUGCGCGGAAGAUGUAACGGGGCUAAACCAUGCACCGAAGCUGCGGCAGCGACGCUUAUGCGUUGUUGGGUAGGGGAGCGUUCUGUAAGCCUGUGAAGGUGUACUGUGAGGUAUGCUGGAGGUAUCAGAAGUGCGAAUGCUGACAUAAGUAACGAUAAAGCGGGUGAAAAGCCCGCUCGCCGGAAGACCAAGGGUUCCUGUCCAACGUUAAUCGGGGCAGGGUGAGUCGACCCCUAAGGCGAGGCCGAAAGGCGUAGUCGAUGGGAAACAGGUUAAUAUUCCUGUACUUGGUGUUACUGCGAAGGGGGGACGGAGAAGGCUAUGUUGGCCGGGCGACGGUUGUCCCGGUUUAAGCGUGUAGGCUGGUUUUCCAGGCAAAUCCGGAAAAUCAAGGCUGAGGCGUGAUGACGAGGCACUACGGUGCUGAAGCAACAAAUGCCCUGCUUCCAGGAAAAGCCUCUAAGCAUCAGGUAACAUCAAAUCGUACCCCAAACCGACACAGGUGGUCAGGUAGAGAAUACCAAGGCGCUUGAGAGAACUCGGGUGAAGGAACUAGGCAAAAUGGUGCCGUAACUUCGGGAGAAGGCACGCUGAUAUGUAGGUGAAGUCCCUCGCGGAUGGAGCUGAAAUCAGUCGAAGAUACCAGCUGGCUGCAACUGUUUAUUAAAAACACAGCACUGUGCAAACACGAAAGUGGACGUAUACGGUGUGACGCCUGCCCGGUGCCGGAAGGUUAAUUGAUGGGGU